UCUGGUAUAGCUCAGUUGGUAGAGCAUGAGACUCUUAGCCUUAGGAUUGUGGUUUGAACCCCACUCUGUCAUGAA
This is a non-coding RNA of Podarcis lilfordi (Lilford's wall lizard), 75 nucleotides long. The record is from the annotation of a GenBank genome assembly. NCBI's taxonomy places the organism in Eukaryota, Metazoa, Chordata, Lepidosauria, Squamata, Lacertidae.